Molecule: non-coding RNA, 94 nt
Organism: Acanthosepion pharaonis
Lineage: Eukaryota; Metazoa; Mollusca; Cephalopoda; Sepiida; Sepiidae
Source: the annotation of a GenBank genome assembly
UGCAUUCACCGGUUCCCGUACAAUCGCCGAAGUUAAGCAACGUCGAGCCGGAUCAGUACCUAGAUGGGUGACCGCUUGGAAAUACCAGGUGCUA